UGUUCAGGAUUAAUAAAAUGAACGUGUGUAUCUAUACCACCAGCAGUUACGAUUUUACCUUCUGCUGCAAUAACAUCUGUAGUAGAGCCAAUAAUAAUGUCGACAUUAUCCAUUAUAUCUGGGUUGCCGGCAUUACCGAUGGCAAAGAUAUAACCGUUUUUAAUACCUAUAUCUGCUUUUACAACUUUAUCGUAAUCGAUAAUAACGGCAUUAGAAAUAACUAGAUCUGCUACAUUAACAUCAUCACGUGUUACACGAGGAUUUUGAGCCAUACCGUCA
Molecule: small RNA, 279 nt
Filed under: Staphylococcus argenteus
Lineage: Bacteria; Bacillati; Bacillota; Bacilli; Caryophanales; Staphylococcaceae
Description: 5' ureB small RNA
Rfam family: 5' ureB small RNA
Source: RNAcentral